Molecule: ribosomal RNA, 320 nt
Filed under: Blastocystis sp. subtype 3
Lineage: Eukaryota; Bigyra; Opalinata; Blastocystidae
Description: bacterial SSU rRNA
Rfam family: Eukaryotic small subunit ribosomal RNA
Source: RNAcentral
AUUGGAUUGAGAACAACGUACAAACCUUAUCGAUAAACAAUUGGAGGGCAAGUCUGGUGCCAGCAGCCGCGGUAAUUCCAGCUCCAAUAGCGUAUAUUAACGUUGUUGCAGUUAAAAAGCUCGUAGUUGAAAUGAAGGGUGAUGAUGUAUUGGGUAUAUUCGUAUACCUCUGUACCCCACCACCCUCCUUCUAAAUUCGAUAUAUGAGUAUUAAUUUACUUGUAUAUGGUUUUAGACAUUUACUGUGAGAAAAUUAGAGUGUUCAAAGCAGGCAUUUGCUUGAAUAUAUUAGCAUGGAAUAAUCAUGUAUGAUUUUCAUG